Molecule: ribosomal RNA, 365 nt
Filed under: uncultured fungus
Lineage: Eukaryota; Fungi
Description: eukaryotic LSU rRNA
Rfam family: Eukaryotic large subunit ribosomal RNA
Source: RNAcentral
AUAUCAAUAGGCGGAGGAAAAGAAACUAACAAGGAUUCCCCUAGUAACGGCGAGUGAAGCGGGAAGAGCUUAAAUUUGAACUCUGGUUUGCUUGCAAAUCCGAGUUGUAGUCUGAAGAAACGUUUUCCAUGAAAAUCGAGGCACAAGUCCUUUGAAACAGGGCAUCACAAAGGGUGAGAAUCCCGUACAUGGUCUUGAAUCUUUCAUUUUGUGAUACGUUUUCUAAGAGUCGAGUUGUUUGGGAAUGCAGCUCUAAAAUGGGUGGUAAAUUUCAUCUAAAGCUAAAUAUUGGCGAGAGACCGAUAGCGAACAAGUACCGUGAGGGAAAGAUGAAAAGAACUUUGGAAAAGAGAGUUAAACAGUAC